RNAcentral lists this long non-coding RNA (553 nucleotides) under Pongo abelii (Sumatran orangutan). Its description in RNAcentral is "lincRNA". Lineage: Eukaryota; Metazoa; Chordata; Mammalia; Primates; Hominidae. The record is from RNAcentral.
CCUGCCAGAGGCACUGCAGGGUGUAGUCACUUGCAACACUCCUGUCUGACAACUCCCAGACUUUUCCUGCUUUAAUCUCUUCAAUGCCCAACUCAGAGAUAAAUCUUCCUAAAAUAUCAUUCUCACCAUGUUGCUUUCCUGGUCAAGAACCUACAGGCUCUCCUCAUAGAUUACUGCAUCAAGAUCCCAAUUCUCAGCUGGGCAUGAUGGCUCAUGCCUGUAAUCCUAGCACUUUGACAGGUUGAGGUGGGUGCAUAGCUUGAGCCCAGGGAGUUCAAGAACAGUCUGGGCAACAUGGCAAAACCCCAUCUCUACCAAAAAAAAAAAAAAAGGAAAAUUGGCCAGGUGUGGUGGUGCAUGCCUGUAGUUCAGCUACUCGGAGGCUGAGGCAGGAGGAUCACUUGAGCCCAGGAGGUUGAGGUUGCAGUGAGCUGAAAUUGCAUCACUACACUCCAGCCCAAGUGAUAGAGUGAAAGACUCUGUCAAACCAACAAACAAACAAACAAAAAACAAAAACACUCAAAUUCUCUACUUGAAAUUCACGGUUCUGGCA